Molecule: unclassified non-coding RNA, 2281 nt
Filed under: Hevea brasiliensis (rubber tree)
Lineage: Eukaryota; Viridiplantae; Streptophyta; Magnoliopsida; Malpighiales; Euphorbiaceae
Source: RNAcentral
UACAGUUGAUAAGCAAAUUGUUUCAGUGAAAAAAUCUGUCCUGAAUUGGUUUGGUGCUUAAAUGAGAUUUUUUAUAAUAAGAAUCAUAAAACGCUUACAAAGCUCUGAUGGAAUAUUGUUAUGAAUCCCUUAAAGCAGGAGCAGCUAUCUUCUACUCUCCAAUCAACAAGUGCAAAAAUCUUAAGUGGUGCUACAUUUGUUUGCUGUAUAAUUGAAUGAAGCAUUUGAUUCUUGAAAGUUUAUGCUAUAUAACUUUUUCAGUGAAUUUUCUGAUUGGAUGCUUAAAAUAAAAUGUUUAAAAUUAAAAACCAAUUCUGCUAUGAUAAUUUUAAGAACUGCCUACCAAAAAAGGACUUGCGAGUGAUAGCGGGUUUGUACCUGUUCUGUUGUUAACUAUUGACCAGCUCCACCACUAGGAAUUUGGGAUUUUAGAAGAAUGUUUCUUUUCUAGGGACAGACUCAUUGCCAAUCUGCUCUAAUUUAACUUCCAAAUGGGGUUGAGAAAAAUGAGCAUUUGGAGGUUCAUGGAUGUAAAUAUUUAACCUUCAUUAACUUUCAUUUACAUCUUAAAAGAACUCAUAAACGAAGCUAAUGAGUCAACCUUCACUCCACCCCUUAGCUCCCUUUAAUCAACUCCCAUGCAAUAUAUUAGCACUGCAAGCUAGCAAGGUUGCUUGAUGACAUUUUAUCGGCAUAUUUCUUCACUUGAUUGUUCUUAGAUGUCUUGAAAAGUAAUCCACUUGUGUUGACUAUGAUUCAGGACAAUGUGGUUCCCAUGGACUUCCAGGGCGAGAUGGGCUGAGUGAGACUUGUUUAAAGGAUCUUCUCCAUGGCUCUGAAUAUGUUCUUACUUAUGAAGACAAGGAUGGUGAUUGGAUGCUUGUUGGUGAUGUACCCUGGGAGUAAGUGCAUUCACUUUUAACAUUCAAUUUUGAAGCUUAUGAAUAAUUUUUAGUGCGCUGAAUUUGCAUAAUUUGUGCCUUGAGAAAACUGAGAUAUUGGUAAAACUUUGUUGUUCUAUGUUAAUACAGGAUGUUUACCGACUCAUGCAGGAGGCUGAGGAUCAUGAAAGGUUCAGAGGCAAUUGGACUUGCUCCAAGGGCCAUGGAGAAAUGCAAGAAUCGUAAUUAGUGUACAAGCAUCAUUAUUCAAGGAGGCUCAAAAACAAGUUUUCUGAAAUUCCAAGAAGCCUGAAGAGUGUGUAAAAGUUGAGUACUUUGUUCAUGAGCAGUAUAUGUUUGGAAAUGUCAUAAGUUUGCUUUUUUAAGUGAACUGGGAAAGAAAAAACUUUCUAGUAGACAGAAUGUCAUUGAAGACAAAUAUUUAGGGUUUGCUUAGUUUAAUUAUUCUCUUAGCUCUACUCUUUCCAGGUGUAUUCCAAUUUGUGUAAAAGAAUGGAUUGUUUGCCUAGAAACCACCGGUAUUAGCUCUAAUUACUACUCAGUUACUAACAUUUGAUCCCAAAUGCUUAUCAUUUGGUAUGCAAUAUGGUAUUGGACAAAUAUGAGAAGGCUCACAAGAAAAGACUGUUAUGAGUUUGCAAUUAUGAGGAAUAAUGGCUACACCUGUUUUACAUACAAGUAUUAUCACAUGCUGGGAUGCACUGCUUCACUCCAUUUAUGUUUUGUCUCCAAUUUGUUGUUUUUAGAGCCCCACAACUGCUAUAACAACUUGCACCAUCACAGGUACCUUGUAUUGAUUGUGGAAAAUGGGUCAUUAAUGCAGAUAAUGUGUAUAAUCACAUUUUAGAGGCUACACUGGCAAUUGUGCCAGUUCUGUUCAACAAAGUUAGAAAUAGUAUAGUCAACUCAUGGGUUUUGAGUGCUUGCCCAUCUUCAUCACAUAAUUACAAAGUCAAUGUAAGGAGAUUAGCAAUUUGCAGACAGCAAAUAAGGGAAUAGAUAUUAACAAGAGAUUGAACAAACAUGUUAGAAAGGAAGUAAUGGGGUAAAGUACUACAGAAAAUUGAAUGAACAUUAAAAUGAACAGGAAAAAAGAAAGAUGAAGAGGGAAAAAAAGAAAGAGGGAGGGAGGAGGGCAUGGGGGGGAGGAGUUGGGGGAAGGAGGGGAGGGGAAGGGAUGGGGUGGGGGUUGUAAAAAACAAUUUGCAAGGUUCAUUCUGAAAACCUAUGUGGAAAAGGCAUUAAUAUUAACAAACUUGUUUUUCAAUCUACGCAAAACUAACAGCUCCGUCAUCCGCUCUGGACAGCUUUAAGACUCUUGUUCAGAGAUUUGAAGAUAUACCAUCUGUGUAUAACCAUUAAAUACAGAUGUCUCUAGU